GAUGAACGCUGGCGGCGUGCCUAAUACAUGCAAGUCGAGCGAACAGACGAUGAGCUUGCUCUUCUGACGUUAGCGGCGGACGGGUGAGUAACACGUGGAUAACCUACCUAUAAGACUGGGAUAACUUCGGGAAACCGGAUCCACUACCGGAUAAUAUAAUGAACCGCAUGGAUCAAUAGUGAAAGACGGUUUUGCUGUCUCUUAUAGAUGGAUCCGCGCCGCAUUAGCUAGUUGGUAAGGUAACGGCUUACCAAGGCAACGAAGCGUAGCUGACCUGAGAGGGUGAUCGGCCACACUGGAACUGAGACACGGUCCAGACUCCUACGGGAGGCAGCAGUAGGGAAUCUUGCGCAAUGGGCGCAAGCCUGACGGAGCAACGCCGCGUGAGUGAUGAAGGUCUUCGGAUCGUAAAGCUCUUUUGUUAGGAAAGAAAAAAUGUGUAAGUAACUAUGCACGUCUUGACGGUACCUAAUCAGAAAGCCCCGGCUAACUACGUG
Molecule: ribosomal RNA, 497 nt
Filed under: uncultured bacterium
Lineage: Bacteria
Description: partial 16S ribosomal RNA
Rfam family: Bacterial small subunit ribosomal RNA
Source: RNAcentral